RNAcentral lists this transfer RNA (76 nucleotides) under Aedes aegypti (yellow fever mosquito). It matches the Rfam family "tRNA". Rfam says of the family: Transfer RNA (tRNA) molecules are approximately 80 nucleotides in length. Their secondary structure includes four short double-helical elements and three loops (D, anti-codon, and T loops). The record is from Rfam by way of RNAcentral. Lineage: Eukaryota; Metazoa; Arthropoda; Insecta; Diptera; Culicidae.
UUAGCCGUAGCGGUAAACGCGCAGCUUUUCAGAAAGACCAAGCUGAGGGUCGUGGGUUCGAAUCCCACCGGUUGAC